UUCGGGUGAACUGUGGUUAAGGAACUCGGCAAAUUGCCCCCGUAACUUCGGGAGAAGGGGGGCCUCCGCUGGUGAUCAGACUUGCUUUGUGAGCUGGUGGGGGUCGCAGAGGCCAGGGGGAAGCGACUGUUUACUAAAAACACAGGUCCGUGCGAAGUCGUAAGACGAUGUAUACGGACUGACGCCUGCCCGGUGCUGGAACGUUAAGGGGACCGGUUAGCGCAUUUCGGUGUGCGAGGCUGAGAACUUAAGCGCCAGUAAACGGCGGUGGUAACUAUAACCAUCCUAAGGUAGCGAAAUUCCUUGUCGGGUAAGUUCCGACCUGCACGAAUGGCGUAACGACUUCCCCGCUGUCUCAACCGCAGACCCGGCGAAAUUGCACUACGAGUAAAGAUGCUCGUUACGCGCAGCAGGACGGAAAGACCCCGGGACCUUCACUACAGCUUGACAUUGGCGUUUGGAACGUCUUGUGUAGGAUAGGUGGGAGACUGUGAAGCUGUCACGCUAGUGGCGGUGGAGUCAUUGGUGAAAUACCACUCUGGUCGUUUUGAACGUCUAACUUCGGUCCGUGAUCCGGAUCAGGGACAGUGUCUGGUGGGUAGUUUAACUGGGGCGGUUGCCUCCUAAAGAGUAACGGAGGCGCCCAAAGGUUCCCUCAGCCUGGUUGGUAAUCAGGUGUCGAGUGUAAGUGCACAAGGGAGCUUGACUGUGAGACCGACGGGUCGAGCAGGAGCGAAAGCUGGGACUAGUGAUCCGGCGGUGGCAUGUGGAAGCGCCGUCGCUCAACGGCUAAAAGGUACCCCGGGGAUAACAGGCUGAUCUUCCCCAAGAGUCCAUAUCGACGGGAUGGUUUGGCACCUCGAUGUCGGCUCGUCGCAUCCUGGGGCUGGAGUAGGUCCCAAGGGUUGGGCUGUUCGCCCAUUAAAGCGGUACGCGAGCUGGGUUUAGAACGUCGCGAGACAGUUCGGUCCCUAUCCGCUGCGCGCGCAGGAGACUUGAAAGGAGCUGUCCCUAGUACGAGAGGACCGGGACGGACGAACCUCUGGUGUGCCAGUUGUUCCGCCAGGAGCAUGGCUGGUUGGCUACGUUCGGAAGGGAUAACCGCUGAAAGCAUCUAAGCGGGAAGCUCGCCUUGAGAUGAGGUCUCCCACCACGAAAGUGGGUAAGGCCCCCGGGAGACGACCGGGUUGAUAGGCCGGAGGUGGAAGCAUGGUAACGUGUGGAGCUGACCGGUACUAAUAGGCCGAGGACUUGACCG
RNAcentral lists this ribosomal RNA (1258 nucleotides) under metagenome. RNAcentral's name for it is "bacterial LSU rRNA". It matches the Rfam family "Bacterial large subunit ribosomal RNA", at positions 1689 to 2925 of the family's 2925-position model. The record is from RNAcentral.